UACGUAGGGGGCUAGCGUUGUCCGGAAUCAUUGGGCGUAAAGCGCGUGUAGGCGGUUCGGUAAGUCCGCUGUGAAAGUCGGGGGCUCAACCCUCGAAAGCCGGUGGAUACUGUCGGACUAGAGUGCGGAAGAGGCGAGUGGAAUUCCUGGUGUAGCGGUGAAAUGCGCAGAUAUCAGGAGGAACACCGGUGGCGAAGGCGGUUCUCUGGGCAUUACCUGACGCUGAGGAGCGAAAGUGUGGGGAGCGAACAGG
RNAcentral lists this ribosomal RNA (253 nucleotides) under uncultured bacterium. Its description in RNAcentral is "partial 16S ribosomal RNA". It matches the Rfam family "Bacterial small subunit ribosomal RNA", at positions 524 to 776 of the family's 1533-position model. The record is from RNAcentral.